Long non-coding RNA from Etheostoma spectabile (orangethroat darter), 136 nucleotides. RefSeq lists it as uncharacterized. NCBI's taxonomy places the organism in Eukaryota, Metazoa, Chordata, Actinopteri, Perciformes, Percidae. The record is from RefSeq and is a predicted model, not a curated record. The transcript is spliced from 3 exons.
CCUCUCUUUCAUGUCAUUUUUCAGUUAUUCAAGAAUGGGUUUAGGAAUCAGAGUCAUUUUAAAAGUACCAGUUUGGCAUCGGAAUCGUAAAAAUCCUAACGAUACCCAACCCUACACUUGAAGACAUAUAAUACUA